GGACUGGUGGCUCAGUGGUAGAAUUCUUGCUUUCCAUGCAAGAGACCCAGGUUUGAUUCCUGGCCAGUGUA
Molecule: transfer RNA, 71 nt
Filed under: Loxodonta africana (African savanna elephant)
Lineage: Eukaryota; Metazoa; Chordata; Mammalia; Proboscidea; Elephantidae
Rfam family: tRNA
About the family: Transfer RNA (tRNA) molecules are approximately 80 nucleotides in length. Their secondary structure includes four short double-helical elements and three loops (D, anti-codon, and T loops).
Source: Rfam by way of RNAcentral